Molecule: non-coding RNA, 115 nt
Organism: Pelobates cultripes (western spadefoot toad)
Lineage: Eukaryota; Metazoa; Chordata; Amphibia; Anura; Pelobatidae
Source: the annotation of a GenBank genome assembly
ACCCCUGCGCGGUGGGUGGGGGCCAUAAAUAAGAAUGUGGGGGGGGACACCUAGUCACCUGGGGGGGUUACAUUUUUAUUUAAGGCCCCCACCCGCCUCUCAGGGGUUGGGGCCG